AAAUAAUGAAGUAAAAUUUACAUUUAGUUUCGACCUAAAAUUAAGGCCCAGCCUCUUAUUUA
Molecule: transfer RNA, 62 nt
Filed under: Macroscytus japonensis
Lineage: Eukaryota; Metazoa; Arthropoda; Insecta; Hemiptera; Cydnidae
Description: tRNA-Arg
Source: RNAcentral